RNAcentral lists this small RNA (528 nucleotides) under Cryptococcus neoformans H99. Its description in RNAcentral is "Cryptococcus neoformans var. grubii H99 hypothetical RNA". Lineage: Eukaryota; Fungi; Basidiomycota; Tremellomycetes; Tremellales; Cryptococcaceae. The record is from RNAcentral.
CCAGAACACUGUCCAUCAAACAAACAUCCAUGUAUCCAAAUAUUGCCAGCAUAUCAAUUUAUCUAGGCCAUCCCGGGGCAGUUUUCGAGUCUUCUCAUCGAUAACGUCCCUAUACCGCCCACGCAUCGCAUUUGACGAGCUCGGAAGCUAGCAGCCUAUUCCACUCCCGCUGUCACUCGAAACGCCCCAAUUCCCAACUACGAUAUCAUCUCCAGUUCCAACCUGAUACGCAAUCGAAUUCGUCUCUCUCGUCCCCUCCAUCAACUAGACUAAAAGUUGGGGACAAAUGAAACGGUUAAAUGGUACGAGCAUCUAACCGGGGGAAAUGGUUUAGAGGGAUAUCGAGACAUGAAGACACUUGUUUAGCUUGAGGAGUCGGAGAACUGGGAAGCUGGCAACGUAAUACCCUGGUAAGUCUUGUUCUGUGUGUGCAUUAUAAAUAUUAUGCGCGGCACAUUUUUUAGAAAUGGUACUCGGAAUUUGCGAAUAGGAAUCGACGUGCAUGCUAUUACUACCUUUUGAACAUCU